GAUGAACGCUGGCGGCGUGCCUAAUACAUGCAAGUCGAGCGAACAGACGAGGAGCUUGCUCCUCUGACGUUAGCGGCGGACGGGUGAGUAACACGUGGAUAACCUACCUAUAAGACUGGGAUAACUUCGGGAAACCGGAGCUAAUACCGGAUAAUAUAUUGAACCGCAUGGUUCAAUAGUGAAAGACGGUUUUGCUGUCACUUAUAGAUGGAUCCGCGCCGCAUUAGCUAGUUGGUAAGGUAACGGCUUACCAAGGCGACGAUGCGUAGCCGACCUGAGAGGGUGAUCGGCCACACUAGAACUGAGACACGGUCCAGACUCCUAAGGGAGGCAGCAGUAGGGAAUCUUCCGCAAUGGGCGAAAGCCUGACGGAGCAACGCCGCGUGAGUGAUGAAGGUCUUCGGAUCGUAAAACUCUGUUAUUAGGGAAGAACAAAUGUGUAAGUAACUAUGCACGUCUUGACGGUACCUAAUCAGAAAGCCACGGCUAACUACGUG
RNAcentral lists this ribosomal RNA (497 nucleotides) under uncultured bacterium. Its description in RNAcentral is "partial 16S ribosomal RNA". It matches the Rfam family "Bacterial small subunit ribosomal RNA", at positions 28 to 507 of the family's 1533-position model. The record is from RNAcentral.